Molecule: ribosomal RNA, 499 nt
Filed under: uncultured bacterium
Lineage: Bacteria
Description: partial 16S ribosomal RNA
Rfam family: Bacterial small subunit ribosomal RNA
Source: RNAcentral
GACGAACGCUGGCGGCGUGCCUAAUACAUGCAAGUCGAGCGAAGUUUUUCUGGUGCUUGCACUAGAAAAACUUAGCGGCGAACGGGUGAGUAACACGUAAAGAACCUGCCUCAUAGACUGGGACAACUAUUGGAAACGAUAGCUAAUACCGGAUAACAGCAUUAACUGCAUGGUUGAUGUUUAAAAGUUGGUUUUGCUAACGCUAUGAGAUGGCUUUGCGGUGCAUUAGCUAGUUGGUGGGGUAAAGGCCUACCAAGGCGACGAUGCAUAGCCGACCUGAGAGGGUGGUCGGCCACCCUGGGACUUAGACACGGCCCAGACUCCUACGGGGGGCCGCAGUAGGGAAUCUUCCGCAAUGGGCGGAAGCCUGACGGGGCAACCCCGCGUGGGUUAAGAAGGAUUUCGGUUCGUAAAGCUCUGUUGUUAGGGAAGAAUGAUUGUGUAGUAACUAUACACAGUAGAGACGGUACCUAACCAGAAAGCCACGGCUAACUACGUG